UAGGGAAUCUUCCACAGUGGACGCAAGUCUGAUGGAGCAACGCCGCGUGAGUGAAGAAGGUCUUCGGAUCGUAAAACUCUGUUGUUAGAGAAGAACACGAGUGAGAGUAACUGUUCAUUCGAUGACGGUAUCUAACCAGCAAGUCACGGCUAACUACGUGUCAG
This 164-nucleotide ribosomal RNA is filed under the name uncultured bacterium. RNAcentral describes it as "partial 16S rRNA". It matches the Rfam family "Bacterial small subunit ribosomal RNA", at positions 355 to 511 of the family's 1533-position model. The record is from RNAcentral.